RNAcentral lists this Y RNA (78 nucleotides) under Octodon degus (degu). RNAcentral's name for it is "Y RNA (ENSODEG00000025291.1)". It matches the Rfam family "Y RNA". Rfam says of the family: Y RNAs are components of the Ro ribonucleoprotein particle (Ro RNP), in association with Ro60 and La proteins. The Y RNAs and Ro60 and La proteins are well conserved, but the function of the Ro RNP is not known. In humans the RNA component can be one of four small RNAs -- hY1, hY3, hY4 and hY5. The record is from Rfam by way of RNAcentral. Lineage: Eukaryota; Metazoa; Chordata; Mammalia; Rodentia; Octodontidae.
AGUUGUUCCAACGGUUGUGGGUUAUUGUUAAACUGAUUUACAUUGUCUCCCCUCACAACCAUACUUGAAUAACAAUGU